GAAUGAGUUUACAUAGCCUGGGGGGGUGACGUUUUUUUGUUUUUUUUUUAGGACUAGACCCCAGCUAUAUUUAACUCCUAAGUUAUUUGGUUCAAACAAAGGGAUUGGUGUGGCUAAACAUUAGGUACCUUUUGAUAUUCUAAAAUCUCCGGGGGGCUGGCAUCUAGAUGCUGGGGUGGGGAGGUCUCGACAUCGCUGGGCUGAUUGACUUUUUAAAACCCUACAGCAUCUGUUUUAGACCCUAAAACAUAAAUUAUGUUUUGACAUGUUGUUAAUGAUUCGUAAGUGGCCGUAAGACAAAGACACACUUUUUUGUUUGGGGGUCGGCCUCUGUUUUGACGUAUAUUGUAAAGAGAGAGAGAGAGAGAGCCUUGAGCGCAGACGCCUGGCCAUUUCUGAACACACACCCCGCCCCGUUUUCUUUGUUUUGAAACACACACAUACGCAUACACUCCAGCACACGCACGCACACACACACGCGCGCGCACAUGGCUUUUUCUGCAAGUUUUUUUCUCCGGGGGCAUGCUUGGUGAUAGAAGUUAAGGACUUAUUCCUAUCGUUAGAAGAUAUAGGUCCUGGUUAGCCCCUGACCAUUAUCCGAUCGCUAAGACGCUUGCACACUCCCUCAAAGCUCCGUAAGUUUUCCCUCCAUGGGUAGAUAAUCCGUCCGUCAUGUAAAUCCUGGGGUAUGCACCCAGCUUUAAUGAAUAAGAUGGGUAGAAAAUGAAUCUGUUUAAGUCAUAAGUAAAGGCCUUUCAUAAAGAGGCUGUCAUGAUUGACUGUGGCCCAUAUUUAACACGUAUUGCAUGUUACCUAAGACUAUUGUUGUACAUUGAAUAUCCACUAGCAGAUUUGUGUAGCAUGCAUCUCCACUAUAUCGGUCAUGUUCCUGUGGUCUUUUUAAAAGUUAAUAAACCUGUGUGUAAAAUGUACACUUUUGUUUCACUGUAGAUUUGUUUAAGCCCACCUAGAAACACCUGAUUUAUCCCACAGCAUUAAGGAAUAAGCUGUGUAUAAAAAUAUUCUGUUUAAGUCCUAAGUAAAGGCCUUUCCUAAAGAGGCUGUCAUGAUUGACUGUGGCCCAUAUUUAACACGUAUUGCUUGUUACAGAAGACCCCUGUUGUACAUUGAAUAUCCAAUAGCCGAUUUUUGGAGCAUCUCCACUAUAUCUGUCAUGUUACUGUGGUCUUUUUAAAAGUCAAUAAACAUGUGUGUAAAAUGUACACUUUUGUUUCACUGUAGAUUGUUUAAGCCCACCUAGAAACACCUGAUUUAUCCCACAGCAUCAAUGAAUAAGCUGCGUAUAAAAUUAUUCUGUUUAAGUCAUAAGUAAAGGCCUUUCAUAAAGAGGCUGUCAUGAUUGACUGUGGCCCAUAUUUAACACGUAUUGCUUGUUACAGAAGACCCCUGUUGUACAUUGAAUAUCCAAUAGCCGAUUUUUGGAGCAUCUCCACUAUAUCUGUCAUGUUACUGUGGUCUUUUUAAAAGUCAAUAAACAUGUGUGUAAAAUGUACACUUUUGUUUCACUGUAGAUUUGUUUAAGCCCACCUAGAAACACCUGAUUUAUCCCACAGCAUUAAGGAAUAAGCUGUGUAUAAAAAUAUUCUGUUUAAGUCCUAAGUAAAGGCCUUUCCUAAAGAGGCUGUCAUGAUUGACUGUGGCCCAUAUUUAACACGUAUUGCAUGUUACCUAAGACUAUUGUUGUACAUUGAAUAUCCACUAGCAGAUUUGUGUAGCAUGCAUCUCCACUAUAUCGGUCAUGUUCCUGUGGUCUUUUUAAAAGUUAAUAAACCUGUGUGUAAAAUGUACACUUUUGUUUCACUGUAGAUUUGUUUAAGCCCACCUAGAAACACCUGAUUUAUCCCACAGCAUUAAGGAAUAAGCUGUGUAUAAAAAUAUUCUGUUUAAGUCCUAAGUAAAGGCCUUUCCUAAAGAGGCUGUCAUGAUUGACUGUGGCCCAUAUUUAACACGUAUUGCUUGUUACAGAAGACCCCUGUUGUACAUUGAAUAUCCAAUAGCCGAUUUUUGGAGCAUCUCCACUAUAUCUGUCAUGUUACUGUGGUCUUUUUAAAAGUCAAUAAACAUGUGUGUAAAAUGUACACUUUUGUUUCACUGUAGAUUGUUUAAGCCCACCUAGAAACACCUGAUUUAUCCCACAGCAUCAAUGAAUAAGCUGCGUAUAAAAUUAUUCUGUUUAAGUCAUAAGUAAAGGCCUUUCAUAAAGAGGCUGUCAUGAUUGACUGUGGCCCAUAUUUAACACGUAUUGCUUGUUACAGAAGACCCCUGUUGUACAUUGAAUAUCCAAUAGCCGAUUUUUGGAGCAUCUCCACUAUAUCUGUCAUGUUACUGUGGUCUUUUUAAAAGUCAAUAAACAUGUGUGUAAAAUGUACACUUUUGUUUCACUGUAGAUUUGUUUAAGCCCACCUAGAAACACCUGAUUUAUCCCACAGCAUUAAGGAAUAAGCUGUGUAUAAAAAUAUUCUGUUUAAGUCCUAAGUAAAGGCCUUUCCUAAAGAGGCUGUCAUGAUUGACUGUGGCCCAUAUUUAACACGUAUUGCUUGUUACAGAAGACCCCUGUUGUACAUUGAAUAUCCAAUAGCCGAUUUUUGGAGCAUCUCCACUAUAUCUGUCAUGUUACUGUGGUCUUUUUAAAAGUCAAUAAACAUGUGUGUAAAAUGUACACUUUUGUUUCACUGUAGAUUGUUUAAGCCCCCCUAGAAACACCUGAUUUAUCCCACAGCAUCAAUGAAUAAGCUGCGUAUAAAAUUAUUCUGUUUAAGUCAUAAGUAAAGGCCUUUCAUAAAGAGGCUGUCAUGAUUGACUGUGGCCCAUAUUUAACACGUAUUGCUUGUUACAGAAGACCCCUGUUGUACAUUGAAUAUCCAAUAGCCGAUUUUUGGAGCAUCUCCACUAUAUCUGUCAUGUUACUGUGGUCUUUUUAAAAGUCAAUAAACAUGUGUGUAAAAUGUA
Long non-coding RNA from Salvelinus fontinalis (brook trout), 2970 nucleotides. RefSeq lists it as uncharacterized. The transcript is spliced from 2 exons. NCBI's taxonomy places the organism in Eukaryota, Metazoa, Chordata, Actinopteri, Salmoniformes, Salmonidae. The record is from RefSeq and is a predicted model, not a curated record.